GGUGGGCCCCGACCCGUGUUCCCCACUCCAGCCUGGCUCCUUCCUCACUGCCCUCACUCGGCCUCAGGGUGUGCCCCCAGGCUGGCCAGAGCUGGCCUUGUCUUCCCACUCAGGGACGUCCCGGAGCCACAGCACCCGCAGUCCCCACAGCACCCAAAACCCCUUUCCCUCACUGAAGGCUGAGCCGCGGCUCACGUGGUGUUGCCUGAGCCGCAGUGUCCCUCUGCCCGCGGAGCAGAAGGCAAAGGCGGCAUCUGUGUACUUGGCGGUGCACUUUCCUGGUAGCAGCCUCCGAGAUGAGGGUCCCAAUGGCCCUCCUGGGAGCAAUGGAGGAUGGACCUGGACAAGCCCUGGAGAAGGAGGGCCGGCGCAGAUGUCCAAGUUCUCCUACCCAACAGUCCCAGGGGUGAUGCCCCAGCACCAGGUGUCUGAGCCAGAAUGGAAGAAAGGCCUGCCUCGGAGAGCAAAGAUGUCUCGUGGGAACAGCAAGCAGAGAAAACUGAGGAUCAA
RNAcentral lists this long non-coding RNA (510 nucleotides) under Pan troglodytes (chimpanzee). Its description in RNAcentral is "long non-coding RNA NONPTRT009011". The record is from RNAcentral. Lineage: Eukaryota; Metazoa; Chordata; Mammalia; Primates; Hominidae.